RNAcentral lists this ribosomal RNA (392 nucleotides) under uncultured bacterium. RNAcentral's name for it is "partial 16S ribosomal RNA". It matches the Rfam family "Bacterial small subunit ribosomal RNA", at positions 338 to 727 of the family's 1533-position model. The record is from RNAcentral.
CCUACGGGAGGCAGCAGUGAGGAAUAUUGGUCAAUGGACGGAAGUCUGAACCAGCCAUGCCGCGUGCAGGAAGACGGCUCUAUGAGUUGUAAACUGCUUUUGUACAAGGGUAAACCUGAAUACGUGUAUUCAGCUGAAAGUACUUUACGAAUAAGGAUCGGCUAACUCCGUGCCAGCAGCCGCGGUAAUAAGGAGGAUCCAAGCGUUAUCCGGAUUUAUUGGGUUUAAAGGGUGCGUAGGCGGAUUGAUAAGUUAGAGGUGAAAUGUCCGCGCUUAACUCGGGAACUGCCUCUAAUACUGUUGAGCUAGAGGGUAGAUGAGGUGGGCGGAAUUUAAGGUGUAGCGGUGAAAUGCUUAGAGAUCAUACAGAACACCGAUUGCGAAGGCAGCUU